Molecule: unclassified non-coding RNA, 338 nt
Filed under: soil metagenome
Description: partial contains 5.8S ribosomal RNA, internal transcribed spacer 2, and large subunit ribosomal RNA
Rfam family: 5.8S ribosomal RNA (bases 2-121)
Source: RNAcentral
GGAUGAAGAACGUAGCGAAAUGCGAUAAGUAAUGUGAAUUGCAGAAUUCAGUGAAUCAUCGAAUCUUUGAACGCACAUUGCGCCCGCCAGUAUUCUGGCGGGCAUGCCUGUUCGAGCGUCAUUUCAACCAUCAAGCCCCCGGGCUUGUGUUGGGGACCUGCGGCUGCCCGCAGGCCCUGAAAACCAGUGGCGGGCUCGCUGUCACACCGAGCGUAGUAGCAUCAUCUCGCUCAGGGCGUGCUGCGGGUUCCGGCCGUUAAAAAGCCUCUAAUACCCAAGGUUGACCUCGGAUCAGGUAGGAAGACCCGCUGAACUUAAGCAUAUCAAUAAGCGGAGGA